Non-coding RNA from Pelobates cultripes (western spadefoot toad), 213 nucleotides. Lineage: Eukaryota; Metazoa; Chordata; Amphibia; Anura; Pelobatidae. The record is from the annotation of a GenBank genome assembly.
GUGGAGGGAGACCAGUGGGAGUUUUGGAACGCAUAUAUGCGUUCCAUUGAAGUGCCCUGUUAUGAGAGCCGGAGAUAGCAGACCGAGUGGAACGCACUAUGCGUUCCACUCGGAGAGAAACCCCGGAAGUGACGUCAGAAUGCGGAAGUGACGUCACAUUAUUGGCGCCGCCGGAAGUAGGAAAUGAAUGCAAACGGAGAUAUGGAACGCACG